AGUGAACGCUGGCGGUAGGCCUAACACAUGCCAGUCGAACGGCAGCACAGUAAGAGCUUGCUCUUACGGGUGGCGAGUGGCGGACGGGUGAGGAAUACAUCGGAAUCUACUUUUUCGUGGGGGAUAACGUAGGGAAACUUACGCUAAUACCGCAUACGACCUACGGGUGAAAGCAGGGGAUCUUCGGACCUUGCGCGAUUGAAUGAGCCGAUGUCGGAUUAGCUAGUUGGCGGGGUAAAGGCCCACCAAGGCGACGAUCCGUAGCUGGUCUGAGAGGAUGAUCAGCCACACUGGAACUGAGACACGGUCCAGACUCCUACGGGAGGCAGCAGUGGGGAAUCUUGGACAAUGGGCGAAAGCCUGACCCAGCCAUACCGCGUGGGUGAAGAAGGCCUUCGGGUCGUAAAGCCCUUUUGUUGGGAAAGAAAAGAAGCAGGUUAAUCCCCCGACGUUCUGACGGUACCCAAAGAAUAAGCACCGGCUAACUUCGUG
Molecule: ribosomal RNA, 492 nt
Filed under: uncultured bacterium
Lineage: Bacteria
Description: partial 16S ribosomal RNA
Rfam family: Bacterial small subunit ribosomal RNA
Source: RNAcentral